Molecule: ribosomal RNA, 292 nt
Filed under: uncultured bacterium
Lineage: Bacteria
Description: partial 16S ribosomal RNA
Rfam family: Bacterial small subunit ribosomal RNA
Source: RNAcentral
GUGCCAGCAGCCGCGGUAAUACGAAGGGGGCGAGCGUUGUUCGGAUUUACUGGGCGUAAAGGGCGCGCAGGCGGCAGACCAAGUCAGGCGUGAAAGCCCCGGGCUCAACCUGGGAACUGCGUUUGGGACUGGUUUGCUAGAGAUCGGGAGAGGAGAGUGGAAUUCCCAGUGUAGAGGUGAAAUUCGUAGAUAUUGGGAAGAACACCGGUGGCGAAGGCGGCUCUCUGGACCGAUACUGACGCUGAGGCGCGAAAGCGUGGGGAGCAAACAGGAUUAGAAACCCUGGUAGUCC